This 1398-nucleotide long non-coding RNA is filed under the name Rhopalosiphum maidis (corn leaf aphid). RNAcentral describes it as "uncharacterized LOC113561209, transcript variant X1". Lineage: Eukaryota; Metazoa; Arthropoda; Insecta; Hemiptera; Aphididae. The record is from RNAcentral.
GACAGGCUCAAGCGAGUUGUAAAUUUGUUUCGGAUUACCAAGAAGUAAAAUACAGAUUUACAUACUUAGGAGAUAUUCUGCUAUUUAUUGUGCUUUAUAGCACUAUUUUUAUUGUAAUUUCCGAUAAAACAAAUUAAAACGUCUAGAAAAUAAUCAUCAUUUAAACCAAGUCACGACUCACGAGUGACUGCUCGUGUAAUAAUUGUUUUGUAACAAUAUAUUAUAAUGUCAUGUUUCAAUAUACUUUAUAUUAUAUUGUAUUUUAUGUACAUAUAAUAUUAUGUAAUAUCACAUAUACGAAGAUUCAGGGGUGGGAUAACAUUAUUGAUGUUUAUUGAAUUGGUGCAAAAAUAGAAACACUAUUGAUUUUUGCUCACAAAAGUAUUUUUUAAUAUUUUUACGCAAAUAUAAUUGGGAAGAGUUGUGUCUCUAGUCACCUCCCACACCACGUGAUUGUGAGGCCACCAUCGCGAUCGUCUACACUCCAAGCGUUUGAAAUAAUUCAAUUCUGAAAUACCUAGUAGUUUAACGAAAUUAUCAACAACUUCGUGCUAUAUGCUAUAAGUGUUCGUGGUCGCUUAAUGUAUAUUAUUGAAUUUAGACUACACAAGCGUGUAUUUCGUUUCUAGGAUUAAUGUACAAGUAGUUAAAAACACGUGUUUUUCAAAUGCAAAAUAAUAAUAUUUAAAUAUACUUAUAACCACUGUCAUUUCAUUUUCUUUACAAUCAGUUCCAAUUUAUAUUUUAUUCGUCAAUUUUAGUAAAUAUAUUGCAAUAUAUUGUUAAGACAUAGUACCCUCCUUCUAACAUCGUAUCGUAUCAUAUAAUUUAUUUUAGGCAUGUAUAUUGUAUGUAAUACUUUUUGUACAAAAUAAUUAUUUGAUUAUUGUGUUAUUUAUACCUACUACUAUAGGGAUCUACUUUUGUCUAGCGUAUCUAAGUAAUACGAUAUCCUAAAAAAUUUUAAAUAUGUCUACGUCUAUGUGGCGUGUUGCCUUUAGGCUUUUGCGGACAGUCGGUGCCACUAAUUUGAGGUCAGAAAUCGAGAUGCCUUAACGCCGCGACUUUAAUGACUGAUGUCGUUGCGACUGCGCGGAUUUCUGCCGUUGUGUCUUCGAGAUCAGCUAACGAGCCGCCUACACGGAUUGUUUGCCGUCGCUGUUUCGUGAUAUGUUGCCGUUACUUCUCUGCGAUGAGUUAUCGAGUCGCCUUCGUGGAAAAUUGCCACAUCGAAAUCAUGAUUAAUACUAGCUUAGGUGUGCCUCGAUUCCAGGCUUGUGGAAGCCGCCUUUGGCGCCUUCAAGGGAGUCGAGUGAAAAUCGUUUCAAGGGAAAUUCGGUUGGAAAUGGUAGUCGGGUGUCUAGAAAUCAGUCACUAAAAAAUAUGCUAAAGGCGAAA